This 350-nucleotide ribosomal RNA is filed under the name uncultured Dysgonomonas sp. Its description in RNAcentral is "bacterial SSU rRNA". It matches the Rfam family "Bacterial small subunit ribosomal RNA", at positions 8 to 353 of the family's 1533-position model. The record is from RNAcentral. Lineage: Bacteria; Pseudomonadati; Bacteroidota; Bacteroidia; Bacteroidales; Dysgonomonadaceae.
AGAGUUUGAUCAUGGCUCAGGAUGAACGCUAGCGAUAGGCCUAACACAUGCAAGUCGAGGGGCAGCAAGGGGUAGCAAUACCCUGUUGGCGACCGGCGCACGGGUGAGUAACGCGUAUGCAACCUACCUACUACAGGGGGAUAACCCGGAGAAAUCCGGACUAAUACCGCAUAAAACAGGGGCUCCGCAUGGAGAUAUUUGUUAAAGAACUUCGGUAGUAAAUGGGCAUGCGUUCCAUUAGCCAGUUGGUGAGGUAACGGCUCACCAAAGCAACGAUGGAUAGGGGAACUGAGAGGUUUAUCCCCCACACUGGAACUGAGACACGGACCAGACUCCUACGGGAGGCAGCA